This is a long non-coding RNA of Marmota monax (woodchuck), 4075 nucleotides long. RefSeq lists it as uncharacterized. The transcript has 3 exons. Lineage: Eukaryota; Metazoa; Chordata; Mammalia; Rodentia; Sciuridae. The record is from RefSeq and is a predicted model, not a curated record.
CGGGCCGCCGAGCCCCGCGCGGCGCCGGGCUGGAGUCCCCGCCGACUGUUGAGCGCCGGAGACAAAGUGCCCGGCCGCGCCCCGCGUCUCUCGGCGGCCCUCCCGGGUCCGAGGUCGCGCUCAGUCCUCAGCAGCGGGAAGCAGGCGCCCGGGGAGGCGGAUGGCUCCUAGGUCGUCGGUGGAGCCCGCGUACGUGGGAGAGAAAACCUUUUUAAGAUGGUGGGAAAGAAAUCGCGGGUCAAUCUGGCAGUGCCACAUUCCGGCAUCACAAAGAGGGCUGGCUGGAACAGGGGCGGGGCGGCAGGGACGGUUCCAGCCAGUCACUCUCGUUUUUGUUUUUGUUUUGCGGUGCUGGGGACAGAACCCGGGGUCUUGGCAUCCUGGCCACUGGGCCCCGCCCCUGGCCUGUAAGUCACUUUGGUUUCACUAACUGUAAUGCCACUCCUUAAAGUUUUAGAAUUAAAAGCGUAACUUGGUAUCUACAAACAGGCAGAACAGUUCAGUUUCAGUCAUAUAAUGACAUAGGAAAUAUCAGACAUCAAGUUGUUUUAAUGAGUGAUUAUUGCAAGCAAGACAGUAUUUUAUCCCUACAGCUAAUCAGUAUGAGUAAGACAAAUCUUUACCAUCAACUUAAAUUCUGGUUGUGGAGAUGUAACAUUCCUACAAUAUUCAAGUGCGCGCUGAAUAAACUAACAAUUCUACAGUUACAAAACACCGCAUCCAAGUUUCAAACAUAGGUGCAGCCCCUGCAGUACUUAACCUCAAUUGUUCACAUAUCCCAAAAAUACUUUUCCAUCAGACCUGCUUUCCUGGGCAAACCUGGGUCCAUAACCAGGUUGUGUGAUGGUUAUAGACCUACAUUAGCUCAGAGCAUAUGUGAACAUGGGUAAACUCAAUAUGCCCAACAGUCAUACCAGGGUGGCACCCCCCACCACCCCCAUGGCUGCACUGGGGAACUGGAUGGCUGUGGACACAGGGCAGAUAAGGAAACUUGAUAGGUGGAAGAAACAUUUCUCACCAGAGCCUGGUGGUAGUUUAGGCCCCACAACUUUCACACAGCACUUCCAAACAACCUCACAACCACAUGCAGUCCACGGACUGCAAAGACAGCUCCAAGACAGGCCUCCAGCUCACAGGGGCACUCCCAUGCCACUCAGAGCAGCCAGCCUCUGCCCCUGUGCCCAAGUACUAACAUGAUCAUAGUUUAGGUUUUAAGAUUAUUUUCUAGGUGGCUGCAGACUGACAGUUUUGUGCCAGGAGAGGACUAGGGGGCAAGAGGUCAGCUGCCAUCUCUUGGGCACAGCCAGAAAGGCAGGGACUACAGAGAAAAAUCGACCGAUGGCUGAUGUCUGGACAUCAUGUGCAGACCCCAGCUGUUCAAAAGCUGUGCUGGCAUCAGUGAUGGUGUGCAGAAUUCAGAGUCGGCCUCUCUCAGUGGGCUACAGGUUAGUCCCUAACCCUCAGAGGUUUCAGCAGAUUGUCUGGCAGGAGGGCUGCAGGUGGGGUGGCCGGGCAGGCUCCUAAUACUAAGAGCUAAUGUGUACUGACAGAAUAUGAGAGUGCUAUGUAGCAAGCACUCUCCUGGGAAAGUGGGGCCUAUAGAUGGGAGGCACCACCCAAUAUCACCCAGCUCUAGAGGGAUGGCAGAGACUCACACUGGGGAAUGUGAGACCAGAGCGAGAUUAACUAGCAUUCUAACGAGAAGGCAGAGUCAGGUUAUGGACUGAGACCCCCACAACCUGGUAGGCGGGGUUCACUCAGUCCAUUCCUGACCAGCAAAAGCCAAACACAAAAUGUGUUGGACUGAUGCCCACGAGGACCAGACCAGGAACCGGGAUUCCCCCCAGUCCUCUCAGCUCGCCCCAGUGAUGGCAGCUGGACCUGGGAGGCUGUCCGUGUGCCUAUCACUUGAGAGGCAGAGAAGGACAUGCCAAGUGUCUUGUCACCAACACCUGACUCUGAGCACCAUUCAAAUGACAGUAGCCCUUGUCCCCUGCCCAGCUACCUCUGCUACUUGAGACCUUGGGCCCUCUGAGGUUAGGACAGUGGGUUGGCCUGUAGGCAGGGAGGGAGAACAGUGUGUCGCUGGCUGCAGGCUCCGCACCGACUGUUACAGAAUCCGUUAUGCGUUCCAUUUGGUCAGUGUGGACAGCUAGUGACAGUUACAGCAAGGACAGUUACUUUCAGUACAUCUGUCCUGAAAUUAAGUUUGGUCACUCGAAAAGGUGACCAAACUUGAUUUCAGGACAGAUGUACUGAAAAGUGAUCAGUGUCAAGAAGUCCAGUCAACUUAUAAUUUACAUGGAAUUUUUUGUAAUGUGCCCAGAGCACAAGGAAGGCACAAGUGUCCAAGUGAACUGGAGAACUAGAAUUCUGAGGUGAGCCUGUGUCUCCAGGUCACCACUGUUCACUUGGUUACAAGAGCCCAUCUCCAAAAUAUGUGAUCGUGUUCCUCCAGAGGUUACUAAAUUUACUAUCUCAAAUAAGCUGGUUGAUUGGAAAGAUCAGGUAACAAAAUCAAAUAUAUAUCUUUAGAUCUGUGCAUAUUUUUGUCAUUUAAUUUUCAAAUUAAGUUUCUUUUACUUUCACAUUUCAAAUAUAACAGUAACAAUAAUUAUUCACAAUUGGGAAAUUAUUCUGUCAGAGUAAAGACUUUUAAUUACAAGGUUUAAGACACUUCCAGAAUGAGUUUAAUAUUCAUGGAGCAAAUUUCGGUCACUGGAAUAUAAUACCAGAAAGAUUAUAUUCAGGCCCAUAUAAGUCAGAGAGAGAGGCCUUUGCACAGGUGUGAACUACUGGCUCUGGAAGACCAAGGGGUGUGAUGACCCUGCACUGCCAACAAAGGCCAUGGAUGGAAGGCACUGGACACACUGCCUGGACCAUAGAAAUGAUCCGCAGUACACGUGGGCCACCGCAAACACAUAAGCUGGCUGCUCCGUCUGUGACCACCACAAUUACCAGUGAAUAAAAUUAGGGCUGGUAAACACAGUCAUAAUACCAAGAAAUUAACAAUUCUAAAAACCAAUUUUCCCCAUUAAUUCAACUGCUUGGUUUAUUAAGGCAUAACAUUUAAAUGCAGACUCAGAAAAACUAAAAAUAUCUCAACACCUUAUUUUUCUAACUAUCUCCUUUUCCCAUAGGCUAUAUUUCAUUUCAGUCAAAUCAAAAUUAAAUCUGAAUUUUAACAUAGGAAAAGCAAUUCAAAGCACCAUUCCCUGGUGAUUUCAAUUAAUUCCAUCAUACUCUACAUACAAACAGUGAACACUCUUCCAUGAGGGACUGGCAAUUCAACUUGCUCCCUUGUUCUCCACAGAAGCAUCUAGUUUUAUGUUCUCUAACUAGCUUACCUGAAAGCUAAACUGGGUGUGGAUCAGCUGGGAUUACCUAGCUGGCGCGGCUGUUGCUGCUUCUGGACAACCCCACUGUCCACCUCUAGUGGGGACACCAAUGGAGCGUCUGCAAAUCCAAGAAGUUCUGAGAGGCUCUGCACAGGCACGGCGGACAGGGUUUCCUGCAGCCUUUCCUCUACUUGCACUCCACACAUACUGGACUGGACUCCUCUGGCUCUUCCUCUGGCGGUCACUGCCUCAUCCUGCAGCUGGUGAGCUGCACUCUGCACCCCAUAGCAGCACCCCUGUGGUACCUCUGCAAUAGGAUGUCUUGGGUCUCCUCCAAGCACCAAGGCCAGGUGCUGGACCUGAUGAUGCCCCAUAGCAUGCCCUUCUGCAUGAAUGAAGGUGGAGGCAGCCUCCUGUUCUUGCUGGCACCUGAGAGGACUCACCCAGCCACCACCAUCACAGCCAGGACAGAGACUGUAUUUUUUUUUUUCUUUUUUGUAUUUAUUUUUCUACAGAAAGAAUAUAAUGCCUGACUAAAUUCUGUUGAACUGAAUCACUUAAAAUACUACAAAUUCAACACAGAAGAUGUUAUUGUUUUUCCCAAGGAUGGGUUUAUUUCAAAUUUUAAAGAUAUAUACACAUAUAUUAUUUUUAUUACAUGUAAUAAGCAAUUUUAAGCUUACAGUAAAAAGUUUCACAUUUUUAAAGUUUAAAAAAAAAAAAGGAUGUCUUAAAAA